This 451-nucleotide ribosomal RNA is filed under the name uncultured bacterium. RNAcentral describes it as "partial 16S ribosomal RNA". It matches the Rfam family "Bacterial small subunit ribosomal RNA", at positions 29 to 523 of the family's 1533-position model. The record is from RNAcentral.
AACGAACGCUGGCGGCAGGCUUAACACAUGCAAGUCGAACGGGUGUAGCAAUACAUCAGUGGCAGACGGGUGAGUAACACGUGGGAACCUUCCUAGGGGUACGGAACAACUCAGGGAAACUUGAGCUAAUACCGUAUACGUCCGUGAGGAGAAAGAUUUAUCGCCCUUAGACGGGCCCGCGUCGGAUUAGCUAGUUGGUGGGGUAACGGCCUACCAAGGCGACGAUCCGUAGCUGAUCUUAGAGGAUGAUUAGCCACACUGGGACUGAGACACGGCCCAGACUCCUACGGGAGGCAGCAGUGGGGAAUCUUGGACAAUGGGCGCAAGCCUGAUCCAGCCAUGCCGCGUGAGUGAAGAAGGUCUUCGGAUUGUAAAGCUCUUUUGCCAGGGACGAUAAUGACGGUACCUGGAGAAUAAGCCCCGGCAAACUUCGUGCCAGCAGCCGCCGUAC